AGUCCAUGGUUAGGAUAACUCCUGAAUAAGGCUUUGUAUCUCUCCCCAGCUUCACACAAGCUCUCACCUUCAUGUUGAACGUAGUUCAAGAUCUCAUCUUGAAU
Molecule: non-coding RNA, 104 nt
Organism: Hordeum vulgare subsp. vulgare (domesticated barley)
Lineage: Eukaryota; Viridiplantae; Streptophyta; Magnoliopsida; Poales; Poaceae
Source: Rfam